GGGGCCUUAGCUCAGUUGGUAGAGCGCAACACUGGCAGUGUUGAGGUCAGCGGUUCGACCCCGCUAGGCUCCACCA
This 76-nucleotide transfer RNA is filed under the name Rickettsiales bacterium. RNAcentral's name for it is "tRNA-Ala". It matches the Rfam family "tRNA". From Rfam's summary of the family: Transfer RNA (tRNA) molecules are approximately 80 nucleotides in length. Their secondary structure includes four short double-helical elements and three loops (D, anti-codon, and T loops). Further hydrogen bonds mediate the characteristic L-shaped molecular structure. tRNAs have two regions of fundamental functional importance: the anti-codon, which is responsible for specific mRNA codon recognition, and the 3' end, to which the tRNAs corresponding amino acid is attached (by aminoacyl-tRNA synthetases). tRNAs cope with the degeneracy of the genetic code in two manners: having more than one tRNA (with a specific anti-codon) for a particular amino acid; and 'wobble' base-pairing, i.e. permitting non-standard base-pairing at the 3rd anti-codon position. The record is from RNAcentral. Lineage: Bacteria; Pseudomonadati; Pseudomonadota; Alphaproteobacteria; Rickettsiales.